This 799-nucleotide ribosomal RNA is filed under the name uncultured Ralstonia sp. RNAcentral describes it as "bacterial SSU rRNA". It matches the Rfam family "Bacterial small subunit ribosomal RNA", at positions 8 to 796 of the family's 1533-position model. The record is from RNAcentral. Lineage: Bacteria; Pseudomonadati; Pseudomonadota; Betaproteobacteria; Burkholderiales; Burkholderiaceae.
AGAGUUUGAUCAUGGCUCAGAUUGAACGCUGGCGGCAUGCCUUACACAUGCAAGUCGAACGGCAGCAUGAUCUAGCUUGCUAGAUUGAUGGCGAGUGGCGAACGGGUGAGUAAUAUAUCGGAACGUGCCCUGUAGUGGGGGAUAACUAGUCGAAAGAUUAGCUAAUACCGCAUACGACCUGAGGGUGAAAGUGGGGGACCGCAAGGCCUCAUGCUAUAGGAGCGGCCGAUGUCUGAUUAGCUAGUUGGUGAGGUAAAGGCUCACCAAGGCGACGAUCAGUAGCUGGUCUGAGAGGACGAUCAGCCACACUGGGACUGAGACACGGCCCAGACUCCUACGGGAGGCAGCAGUGGGGAAUUUUGGACAAUGGGGGCAACCCUGAUCCAGCAAUGCCGCGUGUGUGAAGAAGGCCUUCGGGUUGUAAAGCACUUUUGUCCGGAAAGAAAUCGCACUUACUAAUAUUAGGUGUGGAUGACGGUACCGGAAGAAUAAGGACCGGCUAACUACGUGCCAGCAGCCGCGGUAAUACGUAGGGUCCAAGCGUUAAUCGGAAUUACUGGGCGUAAAGCGUGCGCAGGCGGUUGUGCAAGACCGAUGUGAAAUCCCCGGGCUUAACCUGGGAAUUGCAUUGGUGACUGCACGGCUAGAGUGUGUCAGAGGGGGGUAGAAUUCCACGUGUAGCAGUGAAAUGCGUAGAGAUGUGGAGGAAUACCGAUGGCGAAGGCAGCCCCCUGGGAUAACACUGACGCUCAUGCACGAAAGCGUGGGGAGCAAACAGGAUUAGAUACCCCCGUAGUCC